RNAcentral lists this long non-coding RNA (2138 nucleotides) under Sus scrofa (pig). Its description in RNAcentral is "lncRNA (ENSSSCG00060045307.1)". The record is from RNAcentral. Lineage: Eukaryota; Metazoa; Chordata; Mammalia; Artiodactyla; Suidae.
GCGCUGAGCCCGCAGCCUGCAAGCGACUGCACCCUCGGCGAUUCUAGUCCCAGAGGUGGAGUCAAAUGAGGGUCCCAGCCAAUGAACCUAGGAUGACUAAAUGGAAAAGAGAUCCUUUGCCUCCUCUACACCUCUCUACCUGGCUAGCUUGGGCUUCCUCACAGCAUGGCAUCUUAAGGGCUGCGCCACAGCCGCAGCAAUUCGGGAUCCAAGCCGAAGCUGCAACGCCGGAUCCUUAACCCACUGAGCAAGGCCAGGGGUUGAACCCACAUCCUCAUGGAUAUGAGUUGGGUUCUUAACCCACUAAGCCACAGUGGGAACUCCUCAAACUUGAUUUUGAUCUUAUGAAAGAUGAGAUCAUUCUUUUGGGAAAAAUAGCAAUAACGUUGCCAUAAUGCACUAAUAUUAGAGCUGUAAUCUAAAAUGAUACUUAAAUGAGUUAUGAAAAGCUCAAAGAAUCGUGAAGAAAAUAAUCCACCUUUUCAGGUCUCAAAAAUUUAUUGAUAACACUGAUUAGCCUCAGUGGUCCAUAAUGCCAAGCAAACACCAAAGUCAACAAGAAAAGGCUAGCCUACUAUAUAUACAUUGGAGAGUUCAUUUCAUGGCCCUCCUACCUCCUUAAUACAUGGGGAUGGGCUGAGAUAGGUCUUGAUACUUUAUUUAAUUAUUUAAUCUUUUUAGGACCGCACCUGCAGCAUAUGGAAGUUCCCAGGCUAGGGGUUGAAUCAAAGCUGCAGCUGCCGGCCUACACCACAGCUAUAGCAAUGCCAGACCCGAGCUACAUCUGCGACCUACACCAAAACUCAUAGCAGCGACCAGAUCCUUAACCCACUGGGCGGGGCCAAGGAUUGAACCCACAUCCUUAUGGAUACUAGUCAGUUCAUUACUCCUGAGCCACAGUGGGAACUCCCAGGUCUUGGCACUUUUAACAGACAAAGCUAUUUGAGGGUGCUAUGUGGCAUAGGCCACCCACAAAAUUUCCAUAAUUAGAGAAAAACAAACUCUGACAUAUGUUUUUAAAAUUAUUUUAAAUUUUCAUCCAAGAAAGUGAAUGCAAGAAAAAGAAGACUAAAGCGGUCACAUUAAAACUUCCUAUCUAUGGUGUUACAGGAGACGCAGCAGAACACAGCACUCCCGGGGUGGGCAAAGCCAGGAACCAGGUUUCACCACUUUCUGUGGCGUUUGGGCAGGUUUUAUUGCCCUCUAUGGACCUCAGCUGCCUUGUCUGUGGAAAAGGGAGUAAUGAAUGACAGCACCCACCUUACAGAGUGGCUGUGACGUUUAAGGCACUCCUGGAGAACACCAAAGCCACGUUACCGUCAGCAACGACUCCUUCCAGACCUGACAGUGAAACUUCUUCAGUCAGCCAGUCCAGGAAGAAUAUGUUGUUGUUUUUAAGAACUGUAAUAUAUGUCUACAUGCAGGUGUUAAAGGAAAUGAAAUGCAACAUUUUUUUUUUUUUAAAUAAGGAGACUAUUGAUUCCAGUCACUGCAUGGUGCUGUGGAACCUCUGGAACCUGUGAUUCAAAGGCAAAAACCUGGAAAGAAUAUGGACAUUUCUUUCCGUUGUAUUAUAAAGCUAUAUGGACGUUUAGCAUUGGAUGUGGAGAAGAGUUUCUCAAAUAUUCUGAUUAUAGCACAUCCUUGGGCGAGUCCAGCCUGAGAGUUUAGGAGAGGUCACAUCCUGGCACAUAGGGAGGCAUUCUUGGUUCUCCGCAGCAAGACAGGCAGCCAGGAAAGACCAGCUCUGAGAAUUAGGCCUGCUUUCAUGUGUCACCUGAUACAGAGGGAAAGGGUCAGGCCAGCUCCCUGGACGCAGUGUUUGAAGCCUCUGCUGAUAGUUACCUGGAAUCCAGUCUGACAGUUAUAUUUAUUGUCAUAUCACACACAGACACACACACACUCCACGCAAAUUAUAUGUACUCUAAUUCCAAAGCACUCCAUGAAUGAAUGAUCAUUUGAAGCUUGUUAGCUAGUGAGUUAGAAGUAGAAUUCAAUGACUAGUGGCUCACAGAGCUGAAAAACUGUUAAUGCAUGGUAUUAAUAAUGAUGUAGAAAUAAAGAAAACAGGCUAAAUUAUACAAGGUUACAAAAGAGCAACAAAGAUAUUAAAAUAGCUGUUUAGCUUAAUGAUACAA